GGGUUGUGAGGUUAAGCGACUAAGCGUACACGGUGGAUGCCCUGGCAGUCAGAGGCGAUGAAGGGCGUGCUAAUCUGCGAUAAGCGCCGGUAAGGUGAUAUGAACCGUUAUAACCGGCGAUACCCGAAUGGGGAAACCCAGUGUGAUUCGUCACACUAUCAUUAACUGAAUCCAUAGGUUAAUGAGGCGAACCGGGGGAACUGAAACAUCUAAGUACCCCGAGGAAAAGAAAUCAACCGAGAUUCCCCCAGUAGCGGCGAGCGAACGGGGAGGAGCCCAGAGCCUGAAUCAGCAUGUGUGUUAGUGGAAGCGUCUGGAAAGGCGCGCGAUACAGGGUGACAGCCCCGUACACAAAAGCGUAUGUGCUGUGAGCUCGAUGAGUAGGGCGGGACACGUGGUAUCCUGUCUGAAUAUGGGGGGACCAUCCUCCAAGGCUAAAUACUCCUGACUGACCGAUAGUGAACCAGUACCGUGAGGGAAAGGCGAAAAGAACCCCGGCGAGGGGAGUGAAAAAGAACCUGAAACCGUGUACGUACAAGCAGUGGGAGCACCCUUUGGGGUGUGACUGCGUACCUUUUGUAUAAUGGGUCAGCGACUUAUAUUCUGUAGCAAGGUUAACCGAAUAGGGGAGCCGGAGGGAAACCGAGUCUUAAUUGGGCGUUAAGUUGCAGGGUAUAGACCCGAAACCCGGUGAUCUAGCCAUGGGCAGGUUGAAGGUUGGGUAACACUAACUGGAGGACCGAACCGACUAAUGUUGAAAAAUUAGCGGAUGACCUGUGGCUGGGGGUGAAAGGCCAAUCAAACCGGGAGAUAGCUGGUUCUCCCCGAAAGCUAUUUAGGUAGCGCCUCGUGAAUUCAUCUCCGGGGGUAGAGCACUGUUUCGGCUAGGGGGUCAUCCCGACUUACCAACCCGAUGCAAACUGCGAAUACCGGAGAAUGUUAUCACGGGAGACACACGGCGGGUGCUAACGUCCGUCGUGAAGAGGGAAACAACCCAGACCGCCAGCUAAGGUCCCAAAGUCAUGGUUAAGUGGGAAACGAUGUGGGAAGGCCCAGACAGCCAGGAUGUUGGCUUAGAAGCAGCCAUCAUUUAAAGAAAGCGUAAUAGCUCACUGGUCGAGUCGGCCUGCGCGGAAGAUGUAACGGGGCUAAACCAUGCACCGAAGCUGCGGCAGCGACACUCAG
This 1185-nucleotide ribosomal RNA is filed under the name Salmonella enterica. RNAcentral's name for it is "partial 23S ribosomal RNA". It matches the Rfam family "Bacterial large subunit ribosomal RNA", at positions 1 to 1218 of the family's 2925-position model. Lineage: Bacteria; Pseudomonadati; Pseudomonadota; Gammaproteobacteria; Enterobacterales; Enterobacteriaceae. The record is from RNAcentral.